UGGGGAAUCUUGCGCAAUGGGCGAAAGCCUGACGCAGCGACGCCGCGUGAGGGAAGAAGGCCUUCGGGUUGUAAACCUCUUUCAGGAGGGACGAAGCCACUCGGGUUAAUAGCCCAGAGGGUGACGGUACCUCCAGAAGAAGCCCCGGCUAACUACGUGCCAGCAGCCGCGGUAAUACGUAGGGGGCAAGCGUUGUCCGGAUUUAUUGGGCGUAAAGAGCGUGUAGGCGGCCAGAUAGGUCGGUUGUGAAAACUGGAGGCUUAACCUCCAGACGUCGACCGAAACCAUCUGGCUAGAGUCCGGAAGAGGAGAGUGGAAUUCCUGGUGUAGCGGUGAAAUGCGCAGAUAUCAGGAAGAACACCCGUGGCGAAAGCGGCUCUCUGGGACGGUACUGACGCUGAGACGCGAAAGCGUGGGGAGCGAACAGGAUUAGAUACCCCCGUAGUCC
RNAcentral lists this ribosomal RNA (448 nucleotides) under uncultured bacterium. RNAcentral describes it as "bacterial SSU rRNA". It matches the Rfam family "Bacterial small subunit ribosomal RNA", at positions 355 to 796 of the family's 1533-position model. The record is from RNAcentral.